Molecule: long non-coding RNA, 1148 nt
Filed under: Selaginella moellendorffii
Lineage: Eukaryota; Viridiplantae; Streptophyta; Lycopodiopsida; Selaginellales; Selaginellaceae
Description: long non-coding RNA (SMOE_LNC000151)
Source: RNAcentral
UCAGUGCUAUUUGAUUCCUUCCAGCUUGACAUCUUUCUUGCAGACCGCUUUCAAUCGAUCGUCUCUGUUCCCCAGCCUCGAGAAAAGUCCACUUUGCUGUUCCAGUGCUUCUCUAGCUCGUCCGUCUUUGAAAGAUCAAGCUUUGGCCGAUCUGGUUGAUCCGAGAUGGGAUUUCUGGCAAGGUUGUGGGACGAUGUUGUUUCUGGGCAUGAUCCUGGGAUGAAUCUGCGGGAUCCAAAGCUUGAAGGAUCAUCGCAAGGAGCUCCUUUCGCCCAACGAGAGAAAGACAAGUCAGGGAAUACGAGUGAUCGAGAACGAAGAACCGGAGAUCCUAGCAUUACAAGACAAUUAUCUCCCAGUGUCUCGGAUUGGCUCGUUCUCAGCAUUCUAGACAGAUAAAAACAAGAAAGCUUCUCAAAGUUUGCUCUUUGCAAAGAAAGAUCUUUGUCUUGUGAAAGUCCUGCUCUUCGCAAAAUCUACGUGAUCUAAGCUUGAAAAGAAAAAUUUUCUAAACUGAAGUUCUGAUUGGUGGAUCCAAACUUUCGAUUCGAUCUUGGAUCUAAUGAUUUUGUUCCGCCAGGAAAUUUCAACCAUCAGUAGCGGAAGUUCUUUAUAUUCAUCGCCACCAUCUCAGAGAACAUCGUUUGGUCUUUCACAUUCUCUCCAGUGUUCUUACUUACCUUGAUCUCUUUCUUUCAGCGACCUGUGAAUCCAGACAGCGAACGCUUUGAAUUGGACUGGAUUCAUGAAAGUCGCCGAGAAUUGAAUUGAAUGCCAGCGCCCUCGAGAAUUCCUUCUCUACACUGCCAUGGCGAUGGAUCCCUCCUCCUGGAAGUGGAGGAGCAAGAGCAUGGCUUCCCUCUCCAGACGAAGCCCAAGGUAGAGGAUCAUCAAAACGUAGGCCAAGAUCGCGAGAGCUCCCAAGGGCCCGAGCGCCGCACGGUACAAGCUCGCAGCGCUGGAAUCCAUCACGGCUGUGGAGACGAAAUAGCCGCCAGCAAAUGCGACGCAAAUGCCAAUCGCCCACGCCACUAAUCUCAUCAUCAACACACAAAGGAAGAAACAACGCAUCGAUGGAUAGAAAAGGAAUCGCGAGGACCUACAGUGGUUCCUGAGCCCUCCAUCGCCGCAAGAGCCACAAAGUUCUC